UUUGGUAAAGCUACUAAGAGCGUAUGGAGGAUGCCUAGGCACAUGGAGGCGAUGAAGGACGUGGUAAGCUGCGAUAAGCUUCGGGUAGGUGCAAACAACCUUAAAUCCGGAGAUUUCCGAAUGGGAAAACCCAGCCCGGGUUAUGCCGGGUUACUCCCACCUGAAUAUAUAGGGUGGGUAGAGCCAACGGGGAGAACUGACACAUCUAAGUACCCCCAGGAAGAGAAAAUACUAAUGAUUUCCCUAGUAGCGGCGAGCGAACAGGAAAGAGCCUAAACCGUUAACGUGUCAAGCCCAAGAGCGUUGCGCUAACGGUGUUGUGGGACUGGAAUAGAGUCAAUCUUGGACGACUCGACAAGUCAAAAAAUCAAUCGUUAGAUGAAGUGGUAUGGAAAGACCAGCCAUAGAAGGUGAUAGCCCUGUAAUCAAAAACGAGCGAUCUUGUUGAUUCCAGAUCCCGAGUAACACGGAACACGAGAAAUUUUGUGUGAAUCUGCCGGGACCAUCCGGUAAGGCUAAAUACUCCCAUGUGACCGAUAGUGAACUAGUACCGUGAGGGAAAGGUGAAAAGUACUCCUAGCGGAGAGUGAAAUAGAACCUGAAACCGUGCGCUUACAAGCGGUCGGAGCUCCGAUUCGUCGGGGUGACGGCGUGCCUUUUGCAUAAUGAUCCAGCGAGUUGCUCGUAUGUUGCGAGGUUAAGAUCCAAAGAUCGAAGCCAUAGGGAAACCGAGUCUGAAUAGGGCGUUUAGUAGCAUGCGGCAGACCCGAAACCGAGUGAUCUAGCCAUGGCCAGGUUGAAGUUCCGGUAACACGGAAUGGAGGACCGAACCCACCAGCGUUGAAAAGCUGGGGGAUGAGCUGUGGCUAGGGGUGAAAGGCCAAUCAAACUCGGAGAUAUCUGGUUCUCGUCGAAAUGCCUUUAGGGGCAGCGUUGUAUUAAUGUAUCGGGGGUAGAGCACUGAAUGGGCUAGGGGGCCUACAAGCUUACCAACCCCAAUUAAACUCCGAAUACCGAAUACAUGAUGUACAGCAGUGAGGCUACGGGUGAUAAGAUUCGUAGCCGAGAGGGAAACAACCCAGACCAUCAGCUAAGGUCCCUAAAUUGAUACUAAGUGAUAAAGGAUGUGGAAUCGCCCAGACAGCUAGGAGGUUGGCUUAGAAGCAGCCAUCCUUUAAAGAAAGCGUAAUAGCUCACUAGUCAAGGGGUUCUGCGCCGAUAAUUUCCGGGACUAAGUAUCAUACCGAAGCUAUGGGAUUCAUUCGAUUAGAAUGGAUCGGUAGACGAGCGUUCUAUUAACCUGCGAAGGUUGACCCGUGAGGGCAGCUGGAGGAGAUAGAAAUGAGUAUGCUGGAAUGAGUAGCGAUAAAGCCUGUGAAAUACAGGCUCGCCGUAAGCCCAAGGUUUCCUGAGUAAAGUUAAUCUGCUCAGGGUUAGUCGGACCCUAAGCCGAGGCCGAAAGGCGUAGGCGAUGG
This 1475-nucleotide ribosomal RNA is filed under the name Acidiferrobacteraceae bacterium. RNAcentral describes it as "bacterial LSU rRNA". It matches the Rfam family "Bacterial large subunit ribosomal RNA", at positions 1 to 1421 of the family's 2925-position model. Lineage: Bacteria; Pseudomonadati; Pseudomonadota; Gammaproteobacteria; Acidiferrobacterales; Acidiferrobacteraceae. The record is from RNAcentral.